Molecule: non-coding RNA, 100 nt
Organism: Anaerolineaceae bacterium 4572_32.2
Lineage: Bacteria; Bacillati; Chloroflexota; Anaerolineae; Anaerolineales; Anaerolineaceae
Source: Rfam
UCGUCGGACGCCAAGCAGUUGGACGCCCAGGCCGGGUUCGAGAAAACAGUCACCGCCGUCCCGUUGCUGCUGCAAGGGACCGACAUCAUCUAUGGCGUCG